Molecule: non-coding RNA, 542 nt
Organism: Pelobates cultripes (western spadefoot toad)
Lineage: Eukaryota; Metazoa; Chordata; Amphibia; Anura; Pelobatidae
Source: the annotation of a GenBank genome assembly
UGUUGAUAACAAUAAAAUAGGAUCACCUGCUAAUUAGCAAGGUUUACAGGAAUCACACAAAAAAGUGGCCACCUAAGUGGUCAUUUGAAUCCUGGUAACAAAUGAUAUAUACUGUUGCUACAAAUCUAUUUGCAACAGAGUAUAGAUAGUAACCUGGAAGUAUAAAUAGAGUGGAUAAUAAACGCUAAGGAAGCUAAAUACAACCGCUAAUAUAGUCGACUCAAAUAUAUCCUUGUAGAGAAAUGUGUACAGUAUUAACUGCACAUGCAGAUUCUAGAAAUAAAGGUAUAAGUAUCCUCAGGGAGUAUACUAGAAUUGCUUCCUAGAGUAAAGGGGUUUCAAACCAAUAAUAGACACAGGGUAUAUAGGGGUAUUUGGGUAAAAGUGGACGGCAGUACACCCAAACUAAUGGUAUAGUUGGGACACUAGCCGAGUACAGUACAUAAACCCCAAUUGUAAAUAUCCCAUAUAUCCCAAGUGCUCUAGAUAAAUGGAACAGGUAUAGUGCAAAGGCUGAGAUCAUAGAUCGUGGGUUUUGCCCA